This is a long non-coding RNA of Hibiscus syriacus, 600 nucleotides long. RefSeq lists it as uncharacterized. The record is from RefSeq and is a predicted model, not a curated record. Lineage: Eukaryota; Viridiplantae; Streptophyta; Magnoliopsida; Malvales; Malvaceae. The transcript has 3 exons.
AAAUCGAUAAAUUAAACUGAUAUAAUAAUUGUUUUUUCUAAUUAAUUAAAAAUUAAAAGUUCCAUAUUGGCCAAUUGCUGUGGGAUUCUGGUUACGUCCCCGUGUAUAGUAACACAAUCAUCAUUAUGGCUUUGAAAAGCUUCAAAGGCAAUGAAUUAUUAUCAUUUCCAUGGGGUAUAACCGAUAAAAAAAACAGUUAACUCACAGAGCUAUUAUUUUUCACUUUAAUGUAUUCUAAAGGGGCAUUGUAGUAGUUUUUGGUCCGUUAUUUUCAAAACCUUGGAAUUUUCUUGGUGAGUGUUUUCAGGGGCUUUUAUUAUUCAUUUUGGCUGUUGGGGUUUUUGUUUUUGGAGGGGUUGACCUAAGCGGAUAACUUCACUUCGGCGUCUGAUUUGGAGAUUCUCUUGUUUUAGACAGCGAUUUGGAGGUUUUUCUCAAUGGGGUUUGUGGAAUGAAUCUGGUGGUGGAUUUGAUGGAUUUAAAGCAAGUUUUUUUCCUGAAAUAUUUAGUGGGUUUUCUUUGAUUUACAUGUUGAAGAAGAAGCUACAUUUGGGUUGAUUUUCAAGGUUUGACCUUUUGAGAACAAGCUGGCUUGAACAA